GACGAACGCUGGCGGCGUGCUUAACACAUGCAAGUCGAGCGACGCACCCCCUUCGGGGGGAUGACGGAGCGGCGAACGGGUGAGUAACACGUGGGCAACCUGCCCCUAGCUCUGGGAUAACUCCUCGAAAGAGGGGCUAAUACCGGAUAUGACCUCGGAGGGCAUUCUCUGAGGUGGAAAGUUUUUCGGCUAGGGAUGGGCCCGCGGCCUAUCAGCUUGUUGGUGAGGUAACGGCCCACCAAGGCGACGACGGGUAGCCGGCCUGAGAGGGUGACCGGCCACACUGGGACUGAGACACGGCCCAGACUCCUACGGGAGGCAGCAGUGGGGAAUAUUGCGCAAUGGGCGAAAGCCUGACGCAGCGACGCCGCGUGAGGGAUGACGGCCUUCGGUU
This 394-nucleotide ribosomal RNA is filed under the name uncultured bacterium. Its description in RNAcentral is "bacterial SSU rRNA". It matches the Rfam family "Bacterial small subunit ribosomal RNA", at positions 28 to 423 of the family's 1533-position model. The record is from RNAcentral.